Tigriopus californicus is the source of this 3371-nucleotide long non-coding RNA. RefSeq lists it as uncharacterized. NCBI's taxonomy places the organism in Eukaryota, Metazoa, Arthropoda, Copepoda, Harpacticoida, Harpacticidae. The record is from RefSeq and is a predicted model, not a curated record. The transcript is spliced from 3 exons.
AAUCACUCUUAGAAAUAUUAACAAAAAACAAGCUUUAUCUUAUUUGGUGCACAAAUCACGGGGUGCAAUUCUUACUGCGCAAGAGUAUCUUACUUAUUCGUGAUUGAUGGAAGCCCCAACUUUCUUAGCCGGGUUAACCAAAUCAGCCAACUCUAAUUCGAAGGAAGAGGAAGUCCGCAAAAAAUAGAUUGAUAUACUGUUAUUGCCGAGAAAAAUUGUAGCUGGAUCAAAUGCAAUCUUCUCCAUGACAUAUCUACGGUGGCUGCAACUCCCAUUUUAGGAAUGACAGAAACCUGGCUUCACAAAGGAGUAAAUGAUGCUGAACUGUUGCUGAGUUUCCCUGGUUAUUCUCUCCAUCGAUGUGAUAGAACCUCACUGAACAAUAAUCCAAACCCAAGAGGUGGGACCCUGCUUCUAACACCCCCAUCUCUCCCAUCAAAAGUCAUUAUGGCAAAGUCAACAGGAGUCUGUGAAGUAGUGAUGGCCAAGGCAAUCCCUCUAGGUAUGAUCAUGACAGUGCUUCAUCGGCCUCCAUCUGCAUCAGCAGUGGACAUUUCAAAAGUGAUCGACAUUGUUCAAAACGAACUAGAUUCCCUCAGUGACCAGUCAUAUGAUUUAAUUGUGAUGGGUGACUUCAACUUCCCACCGCGUUCUCUGGAAUGAGUAUGUGAGUCGGAUAUAAUGUGCCCCAAAAUCAACACUUGAAUCACAGAAGAAAAAGCCUUCUAAAUUUUGCGAGCAAUAACUUUCUCUGCCAAAUGGUGAGAGAACCAACACGCAACAACAACACCCUUGAUCUUAUUUGGACCAACAACCCUGAUACAAUCCUGAAGACUGAAGUCAUGGAAAUGUGUGGCAUAUCAGACCACAAACUUGUGACAGCAAAAACAGCGUACACAACAGAUCAAAUAAAGUACAAGAAACAGAUCAAAGAAAUGACAAGAAACAGAUCAAAGAAAUGACAAGAAACAGAUCAAAGAAAGGAAAAGAAACAGAUCAAAUACAUAGCAAAAAUUGGAAGGUAUGACUUUGAAAAAGGGAAUCAAAAAAAUUUAAAGCAAUGAUUUGUAACCUGUGAUUGUGAUCAACUGUUAUCAUCUUCAAGCACUGCACAUGAGAAGAGGACUAAAUUUAUUGACACUAUCACAGAAAUAGCAGAGCAAGCUAGUCUACCCUUCAAGAAGGUGGGUAACACAGGCAACAUCCCAAUCCCAAGAGAUAGAAAGAGACUUUUCAAGAAACGGUGUGCCUUGUUUUCAAAGCUCCGAAUAAAAAAACAUCUUGACAGGGAAAAUAUAUGCAAAAAGAUUGCACUAAUCAACUCUGAGCUAGAGUCUUCCUAUAAAACAGAGAAAGUAAUUCAGGAAGCAAGGGUGGCAUCUCAGGUGAAGUCAAAUCCAAAAGCAUUGUACAAAUAUGCCAACAAAUACAGAAAGGCAAAAUGACAUAUUGGCCCGCUGCGGUCAACAUACCAUCUUGAGGAUAGCCCAAGGAAGAUGGCAGAAAUCCUGAGCAAGCAGUAUUCAGCUGUGUUUACUGAACCCAAUUCAACUGAUGACAUCCCCAAACUCAGUGAGUUUUUCAACUGUAACACUGGAUUGAAGGAUAUACCUUUCACAGUUUAAGAUAUUGAGACUGCUAUGAAAGCAAUUUCCUCCUCAUCUGCCCCAGGCCCGGAUAAGUUCCCAGCUUUCCUUCUCAAUCAAUUCUCCUAUGAACUGAAGAGAUUCCCUGGACAGUGGAGACAUGCCAGAGGGCAUCAAUGUGACAAGACUCAUGCAAAAAACUAUAGGCCAGUGGAACUGACAAGCCACCUAACAAAAGCGUUUGAAAAGGUUGUGAAAGGUGCCCUUGUUGCACAUCUUUCCAGCGACAAUCUGUUCAACAAAGGUCAACAUGGAUUCAGAAAAGGUCACUCAACAUUGACUCAGCUAGUACAAUAUUACUAAGAAAUUCUUUGCAUGCUUGAGACUAAUGAUGGUGUUGACUCUAUUUUCCUGGAUUUUGCCAAAGCCUUGUGACCACAACACAAUAUUAAGGAAGAUGAAGCGCCUUGUCAUGAAUGGGAAAGUUGGUGUGUGGAUUGGAAAUGUUCUCAAAAAAAACGUCAGCAGGCCGUUGUGAUCGAUGGAGAACAAUCUUCAACAGUUUGGCCCGUCUCAGGAGUCCCACAAGGCUCAGUGCUUGGGCCAAUCCUGCUCCUAAUCCUAAUGGGGGACAUUGACUAAGGUGUCCAGAACUCAAGUUUGGCCUCCUUUUGCAGAUGACACAAGAGUUUUGGAAAGGGGUUAGCAGUGAAAAGGAUAACAACGAGCUUCAACAAUACCUGGAGAAAGUGUAUGUCUGGUCAGAAAACAACAAAAUGGUCUUCAACUCUGCCAAGUUUGAGUGGGUUCACUUUGGCAGAACAAGGUUAAAGGGGCAUGUCUAUUCAUCUUCUAAUCAAUCAAUAAUCCAAAGCACUGAACAUGUCCGUGAUUUGGGAGUGACUCUUAGAUCAUACUGUACUUUCAAAAUGCAUAUUGAGAAGACUGUACUCUCUUGCAACCAAAUGUCUGGGUGGAUCCUUAGAACAUUCACCAUUCGACAAGAACAUUAUGAUCCCCCUGUAAAAGCAACUGGUAAUGAGUAGAGCCGAAUAUUGCUGCGUUCUGUGGUCAACUGUUGAGUCAGCCGCCAUAUGAAGACUUGAGGGGAUCUAGAGGUCAUUUACAAGAAAACUAGACACCUUUCGAGGCAUGAAUCGCCCAAACUACUGGGAGCGAUUGAAGAUGCUGAACUUGUACUGCCUGGAGAGGAGACGAGAACGAUACAUGGUAAAAUAUGCUUGGAAAGUGCUUCAAGAAAUGGUGCCUAAUCCAGGGUUUGUCUCCAGGGACAAUCCAAGAACAGGAAUUCAUAUGGAACUUCCAAAAAAUGACCAAUCAACCCCAGGCUGGGUGAAACGAUUGAGAGGAAGCAGCUUCCUAUACCGUGGAUCCCAGUUGUUCAACUGCCUGCCCACCUACCUCAGGCAACCUAACCUCAACCAAUCUCCUGCGUCUUACAAGAGAGAGCUUGACAACUUCCUGAAAACAGUCCCGGACGAAACCAACGUCUGGAAAGCACCUCACCAAUUGUCGGAACCUCAAUAAUGACGUCAUAUUACAUCGCAGUAACCGCAAGAACCGCAAGGACAAACGACUUCAACACUGCCUUAUCCAAUGCCUCCAGUUUCUAUGAAGACAAGCAUUUUCAAUUGAGCUCACCUAUUGUCAUAGUUUCGACUGAAGUCGUCGUAUUCUUCUCUCCGAAUCCGCUCUAAACGAACUUCAUAACUCUCAGUCAAAGUCCAAUAGUAUGUGCAGAAUAACAAGUGUAGAAUAUGCCUC